GAGCGGUAAGGCCCUUCGGGGUACACGAGCGGCGAACGGGUGAGUAACACGUGAGCAACCUGCCCCCGACUCCGGGAUAAGCGGUGGAAACGCCGUCUAAUACCGGAUACGACCGGCCACCUCAUGGUGGCGGGUGGAAAGUUUUUCGGUUGGGGAUGGGCUCGCGGCCUAUCAGCUUGUUGGUGGGGUAAAGGCCUACCAAGGCGAUUACGGGUAGCCGGCCUGAGAGGGCGACCGGCCACACUGGGACUGAGACACGGCCCAGACUCCUGCGGGAGGCAGCAGUGGGGAAUAUUGCGCAAUGGGCGAAAGCCUGACGCAGCGACGCCGCGUGGGGGAUGACGGCCUUCGGGUUGUAAACCUCUUUUACCACCAACGCAGGCUCCCAGUUCUCUGGGGGUUGACGGUAGGUGGGGAAUAAGGACCGGCUAACUACGUGCCAGCAGCCGCGGUAAUACGUAGGGUCCGAGCGUUGUCCGGAAUUAUUGGGCGUAAAGAGCUCGUAGGCGGCGUGUCGCGUCUGCUGUGAAAGACCGGGGCUUAACUCCGGUUCUGCAGUGGAUACGGGCAUGCUAGAGGUAGGUAGGGGAGACUGGAAUUCCUGGUGUAGCGGUGAAAUGCGCAGAUAUCAGGAGGAACACCGGUGGCGAAGGCGGGUCUCUGGGCCUUACCUGACGCUGAGGAGCGAAAGCAUGGGGAGCGAACAGG
Molecule: ribosomal RNA, 708 nt
Filed under: uncultured Actinomycetes bacterium
Lineage: Bacteria; Bacillati; Actinomycetota; Actinomycetes
Description: bacterial SSU rRNA
Rfam family: Bacterial small subunit ribosomal RNA
Source: RNAcentral